CUCAGCGCUGCUGCUGCUCUCGGUCGGCUGUCCCGGCCCCGGGUUCCCGCCGCCAGACGCCGACCGACUCAUCACACAACACUGUCUUCACACAGACCCCUCGGCGCUGGAGUCUGACCGGCAGCUGCUGCUGGCAUUCCGCUCGCUGUCUGACCUGCUCUCCGGCCUGUCGGCGCUGGCAGAGGCAGAAAACGCCUCCAGCCGAUGCCAAAAUGUCCGUCGUCAGUCCGACCCGGCCCCCGCACAGCCGUGGUGGGAGCCUCAGAAGCGUGCGGACCGGCAGCCCCCGCGGGAUCCGCCACAUUUCGACACUCUGCUGGCACAGCUCAACACGGCGCUGCAGCAGCUCAA
Amphibalanus amphitrite is the source of this 351-nucleotide long non-coding RNA. RefSeq lists it as uncharacterized. The transcript has 4 exons. The record is from RefSeq and is a predicted model, not a curated record. NCBI's taxonomy places the organism in Eukaryota, Metazoa, Arthropoda, Thecostraca, Balanomorpha, Balanidae.